This is a non-coding RNA of Paramuricea clavata, 393 nucleotides long. The record is from the annotation of a GenBank genome assembly. Lineage: Eukaryota; Metazoa; Cnidaria; Anthozoa; Malacalcyonacea; Plexauridae.
AUCUGAAGUCACAACGUGGCUUCUUAUGAACGAGCUGCUCGAUUGCAUAAAAAACGACGCCAGAAUAGAUUAUAUAUUGCUUAUACGAGAGAAUAUAGCGCUGUAAUUACACGAUUCCUACGUAAUAUAAGUCAGCCUUUCAUAGAAUAAGGCAGCAGAUUAUAGAGUAAGGUUUCCAAUCCAGUGACCACUUGCAAUCCAAGAGAAACAUAAUAUAUAGACCUGGUCGUUUGAAACGACCUGAGAAGUCCCAUAACAAAUUCCUUAAAUAAAUGUGAUUAAUCCCAAGUAUGAUUUUUUGUAUGUGUAAUAUUUGGGUCAUUCGAAGAAAUGUAAUAUAUCUUUAUAAUGAAAAAUCCCAUCUUGAUCAACUUUUUCACUGUUAAAGUUUCC